AUUGAACGCUGGCGGCAUGCUUUACACAUGCAAGUCGAACGGUAACAGGCCGCAAGGUGCUGACGAGUGGCGGACGGGUGAGUAAUGCAUCGGAACGUGCCCAGUCGUGGGGGAUAACUACUCGCAAGAGUAGCUAAUACCGCAUACGAUCUAUGGAUGAAAGCGGGGGACCGUAAGGCCUCGCGCGAUUGGAGCGGCCGAUGUCAGAUUAGGUAGUUGGUGGGGUAAAGGCUCACCAAGCCAACGAUCUGUAGCUGGUCUGAGAGGACGACCAGCCACACUGGGACUGAGACACGGCCCAGACUCCUACGGGAGGCAGCAGUGGGGAAUUUUGGACAAUGGGCGCAAGCCUGAUCCAGCAAUGCCGCGUGCAGGAAGAAGGCCUUCGGGUUGUAAACUGCUUUUGUACGGAACGAAACGGCUCUGGUUAAUACCCGGGGCUAAUGACGGUACCGUAAGAAUAGGCACCGGCUAACUACGUG
This 482-nucleotide ribosomal RNA is filed under the name uncultured bacterium. RNAcentral describes it as "partial 16S ribosomal RNA". It matches the Rfam family "Bacterial small subunit ribosomal RNA", at positions 30 to 507 of the family's 1533-position model. The record is from RNAcentral.